CCUACGGGUGGCAGCAGUGGGGAAUAUUGGACAAUGGGCGCAAGCCUGAUGCAGCCAUGCCGCGUGUGUGAAGAAGGCCUUCGGGUUGUAAAGCACUUUCAGUGGGGAAGAAAGCCUUGGGGUUAAUACCCUCGAGGAAGGACAUCACCCACAGAAGAAGCACCGGCUAACUCCGUGCCAGCAGCCGCGGUAAUACGGAGGGUGCGAGCGUUAAUCGGAAUUACUGGGCGUAAAGCGCGCGUAGGCGGUCUGAUAAGCCGGUUGUGAAAGCCCCGGGCUCAACCUGGGAACGGCAUCCGGAACUGGCAGGCUAGAGUGCAGGAGAGGAAGGUAGAAUUCCCGGUGUAGCGGUGAAAUGCGUAGAGAUCGGGAGGAAUACCAGUGGCGAAGGCGGCCUUCUGGACUGACACUGACGCUGAGGUGCGAAAGCGUGGGUAGCAAACAGGAUUAGAUACCCCUGUAGUC
Molecule: ribosomal RNA, 465 nt
Filed under: Vreelandella stevensii
Lineage: Bacteria; Pseudomonadati; Pseudomonadota; Gammaproteobacteria; Oceanospirillales; Halomonadaceae
Description: partial 16S ribosomal RNA
Rfam family: Bacterial small subunit ribosomal RNA
Source: RNAcentral